This 711-nucleotide ribosomal RNA is filed under the name Pantoea agglomerans. RNAcentral describes it as "bacterial SSU rRNA". It matches the Rfam family "Bacterial small subunit ribosomal RNA", at positions 42 to 745 of the family's 1533-position model. Lineage: Bacteria; Pseudomonadati; Pseudomonadota; Gammaproteobacteria; Enterobacterales; Erwiniaceae. The record is from RNAcentral.
GCAGGCCUAACACAUGCAAGUCGAACGGUAGCACAGAGAGCUUGCUCUCGGGUGACGAGUGGCGGACGGGUGAGUAAUGUCUGGGAAACUGCCUGAUGGAGGGGGAUAACUACUGGAAACGGUAGCUAAUACCGCAUAACGUCGCAAGACCAAAGAGGGGGACCUUCGGGCCUCUUGCCAUCAGAUGUGCCCAGAUGGGAUUAGCUAGUAGGUGGGGUAACGGCUCACCUAGGCGACGAUCCCUAGCUGGUCUGAGAGGAUGACCAGCCACACUGGAACUGAGACACGGUCCAGACUCCUACGGGAGGCAGCAGUGGGGAAUAUUGCACAAUGGGCGCAAGCCUGAUGCAGCCAUGCCGCGUGUAUGAAGAAGGCCUUCGGGUUGUAAAGUACUUUCAGCGGGGAGGAAGGUGUUGUGGUUAAUAACCACAGCAAUUGACGUUACCCGCAGAAGAAGCACCGGCUAACUCCGUGCCAGCAGCCGCGGUAAUACGGAGGGUGCAAGCGUUAAUCGGAAUUACUGGGCGUAAAGCGCACGCAGGCGGUCUGUCAAGUCGGAUGUGAAAUCCCCGGGCUCAACCUGGGAACUGCAUCCGAAACUGCCAGGCUUGAGUCUUGUAGAGGGGGGUAGAAUUCCAGGUGUAGCGGUGAAAUGCGUAGAGAUCUGGAGGAAUACCGGUGGCGAAGGCGGCCCCCUGACCAAGACUGACG